Molecule: microRNA, 23 nt
Filed under: Callithrix jacchus (white-tufted-ear marmoset)
Lineage: Eukaryota; Metazoa; Chordata; Mammalia; Primates; Cebidae
Description: cja-miR-510b
Gene: cja-miR-510b
Source: miRBase by way of RNAcentral
UGAUUGAAACCUCUGUGAGUAGC